UUGAAUAGUGAUUUUUAGAAGAAUUGAUGGUUAAAAAGUUUUUUGUGUGAAUACUAUUAUAAUAGGAGUUUUCAAAUGAUUGUUAUAAAAUGGAGACUUAUUUUUUUGGCUAAUUAUUUGAUUUAUGUUGACUAGUCUUAUUUUUUGGCUAAUGAUUAUUUUAAUAUACAUUUUCUUUAUAAGCGGCACAUUUUCAUAAUUUUAAAUUUUGAAUAAGUCCUUUGAUACGAACUAUAUAGUUUAUGGAUUUUACAAAUUUUUUACAAUAUAUUUUGUUAAUUUUUAUUAAAAUUUAUUAAAAAUCUAAUUUUAAUUUUCAAGCAAACAAGAGGAAAAUAUGAUUUCUAGAAGAUUAAAAGGUCAAUUGCAUUUUUCAGGUGCAAAGGUACCUAAAGUGACAAGACAGAAACGGCAAGAGACAUUAGAGGAUACUUGGAAGAUAAUAAUGGAAGCGCGUCAAGUGCCACCCACAAAGUCAGAUACGUGGCAACGCAGUGGGCAUCAGUUGACCACAAGUAGACCGGAUCAUGUACCAAAAUCGAAGACCUCCAAGAACCGUGUGAACUAUGAGUCCCCAUUCGAAGCUCCAUUGAGAUUGUCCUCAAGUACGAAGAUUUCAAAAGAGUCAUCGUUGAGUAAAGAUGAGCUGAAUCAAAGGGUUGAGGCGUUCAUCAAGCAAUUUAAUGAGGAGAUGAGGUUGCAAAGGCAAGAGUCACUCAACCAGAGUAUGGAGAUGAUUAAUCACGAGGUCUAGACUAUACAGAUCAUUAAUUCCUGUUGUAUAGAAAUAAGUCAAUAACCUUCACAGAAGACUUACAGAACUCUCACACAGGGUGAACUUCAUGUGAAUAUUUUAUUGAAAAAAAAAUAAAAAAAAAUACCUGCUGUGCCCCAUCUAGAGGGAUUCUGUGACCCCUCAUGCUGUACAUAUAGUAUGCUUGCUAUACAGAUUUAGAUUGUGAUUUACUUGUUAAUAUAAAAAUAUCAACAUAGAAAAUUGGAAAAAAGAAAAAGUAGUAGCUGCAAAAACUUUAAAAAAGCUUGAAAUAGUUUUUAGGGAACUACUUUUAGUUUGUGUUUCCAAAUUUGUCAGGCCUCACCGUCGAGGCUCUAUUUCAAGCAUAUGUGGCAACCACUUGGAUGCAUCAAUCCAGGGAAAAGUCAAAAGGUCGACAGAGUUAAAUGAUUGAAGUCAACUCUAUUGUUGAAAUUCCUUUACAAUCGAGGUCAUUCAUCCCGAAUUCCCUCCUUCAAAGGGUCUCGGAUUAGAAGCAUUUCCCAAAGAGAUCGUAGUGGUUAAUGAAUGAUUGAUAUCACCACUUGCAAUCCAAUUAAGUCGAAUCUUGUCAAUCUAAUUAAUUAUGUACAUUGACACACUCGAAAGGAUAGCUCCUCUUCCCCCACACACUCGAAUGCACUACACUGUAAGUGGACAAUGGGACAGUCACGAUAAGACAUCCUAGAGAGUCGAAUGCAACCACGUACGUUUCAUCCAAUGGCCAAGAUCAAUGCUAUAUUACUAUAAACAACAAACAUUUUAGCACUUUGAAUUUAAUGCAACUCUUUACACAAAUAAAACUAUAUUCUACUCUUUCUUUUGUUCAUAUUCAAACUUGUUUGAGCUUAGAUAACAUUGUUUUAGUUAAGUUAUUUAUGAUUGAUUCUUAAUGUGCAAUCACCCAUGAAUUUAUGACCAGUAUUUGAACAUCUUUGUCUCGUGUCUUAAAGUAUCUCCCACGUUCAUGUGCAGUUAUUCCUUUGAAUUGCAUUUUCGGUUAAAAAUGUUGAAAUUUGCUCGUCUAGACAUGAGUGGACCCGAGAUCUGUUAUCCACGUCAUCCCUACAAAAAGUGAAUUUAUAAAAUGGAGACUUAAUUUUUUGGCUAAUUAUUUGAUUUAUGUUGACUAGUCUUAUUUUUUGGCUAAUGAUUAUUUUAAUAUACAUUUUCUUUAUAAGCGGCACAUUUUCAUAAUUUUAAAUUUUGAAUAAGUCCUUUGAUACGAACUAUAUAGUUUAUGGAUUUUACAAAUUUUUUACAAUAUAUUUUGUUAAUUUUUAUUAAAAUUUAUUAAAAAUCUAAUUUUAAUUUUCAAGCAAACAAGAGGAAAAUAUGAUUUCUAGAAGAUUAAAAGGUCAAUUGCAUUUUUCAGGUGCAAAGGUACCUAAAGUGACAAGACAGAAACGGCAAGAGACAUUAGAGGAUACUUGGAAGAUAAUAAUGGAAGCGCGUCAAGUGCCACCCACAAAGUCAGAUACGUGGC
This 2261-nucleotide long non-coding RNA is filed under the name Olea europaea (common olive). RNAcentral's name for it is "long non-coding RNA (OEUR_LNC008005)". Lineage: Eukaryota; Viridiplantae; Streptophyta; Magnoliopsida; Lamiales; Oleaceae. The record is from RNAcentral.